CAGGUGUAGCGGUGAAAUGCGUAGAGAUCUGGAGGAAUACCGGUGGCGAAGGCGGCCCCCUGGACGAAGACUGACGCUCAGGUGCGAAAGCGUGGGGAGCAAACAGGAUUAGAUACCCUGGUAGUCCACGCCGUAAACGAUGUCGACUUGGAGGUUGUGCCCUUGAGGCGUGGCUUCCGGAGCUAACGCGUUAAGUCGACCGCCUGGGGAGUACGGCCGCAAGGUUAAAACUCAAAUGAAUUGACGGGGGCCCGCACAAGCGGUGGAGCAUGUGGUUUAAUUCGAUGCAACGCGAAGAACCUUACCUGGUCUUGACAUCCACAGA
This 325-nucleotide ribosomal RNA is filed under the name Escherichia coli. RNAcentral describes it as "bacterial SSU rRNA". It matches the Rfam family "Bacterial small subunit ribosomal RNA", at positions 670 to 994 of the family's 1533-position model. Lineage: Bacteria; Pseudomonadati; Pseudomonadota; Gammaproteobacteria; Enterobacterales; Enterobacteriaceae. The record is from RNAcentral.